Molecule: transfer RNA, 93 nt
Filed under: Comamonadaceae bacterium
Lineage: Bacteria; Pseudomonadati; Pseudomonadota; Betaproteobacteria; Burkholderiales; Comamonadaceae
Description: tRNA-Leu
Rfam family: tRNA
About the family: Transfer RNA (tRNA) molecules are approximately 80 nucleotides in length. Their secondary structure includes four short double-helical elements and three loops (D, anti-codon, and T loops).
Source: RNAcentral
GCCCGGAUGGUGAAAUUGGUAGACACUGCGGACUUAAAAUCCGCCGCUUUCCUGCGAAGGGGCAUGCGGGUUCGAUUCCCGCUCCGGGCACCA